RNAcentral lists this microRNA precursor (88 nucleotides) under Canis lupus familiaris (dog). RNAcentral describes it as "mir-8799 microRNA precursor family". It matches the Rfam family "mir-8799 microRNA precursor family". The record is from Rfam by way of RNAcentral. Lineage: Eukaryota; Metazoa; Chordata; Mammalia; Carnivora; Canidae.
CGGGGGAGGCGGGAUCCUGGGCUGUGUCCCGGCGCCCUGGGCUCCUGGCCUGCGCUGUUGGAUUCGCGCUCCCGCCCCGCAGCCCCCA